Molecule: transfer RNA, 72 nt
Filed under: Ailuropoda melanoleuca (giant panda)
Lineage: Eukaryota; Metazoa; Chordata; Mammalia; Carnivora; Ursidae
Rfam family: tRNA
About the family: Transfer RNA (tRNA) molecules are approximately 80 nucleotides in length. Their secondary structure includes four short double-helical elements and three loops (D, anti-codon, and T loops).
Source: Rfam by way of RNAcentral
GCCUGGCUGGCUCAGUGGUAGAGCCUGUGACUUUUGAUCUCGGAGUUGCAAGUUCAAGCACUGCGUUAGGUG